This is a long non-coding RNA of Capsella rubella, 368 nucleotides long. RefSeq lists it as uncharacterized. NCBI's taxonomy places the organism in Eukaryota, Viridiplantae, Streptophyta, Magnoliopsida, Brassicales, Brassicaceae. The transcript is spliced from 4 exons. The record is from RefSeq and is a predicted model, not a curated record.
UUCUUCUCUCUUUUGUUUUGUUGCUGUUGUUUCUGAGAGUUGAGUUGAGAAAAGGAGAAGGAGAAGUUUACUUGUGAGGUAUCAAAUCUUACCGAAAGUUUGGUGAGACGCGUUUUCUCUGUUGCGAACUGGGAUCAUCGGAGUUUGUAAGUGCGAUCGUGGUUUCAUCGUUUCUCCGAUCGGCACCAAUUUUUGUGGGCAGCUUUGAGACGUCUGGAUCUUGCUUUUCACCGUAGUGAUUAAGAAGUUAACGGGCGUUGUUUGGCUGUUGCAGUCGCGAGGAGAGUUUUUCCUGGUUGUUUUUGAAUUCAAAUCACCUUGUUAAGGUAAAGGCAAAGUGUGAUCCGUGGAAUCAUGGCGAGGAGAGG